Molecule: ribosomal RNA, 384 nt
Filed under: uncultured bacterium
Lineage: Bacteria
Description: partial 16S ribosomal RNA
Rfam family: Bacterial small subunit ribosomal RNA
Source: RNAcentral
UGGGGAAUAUUGCACAAUGGGCGGAAGCCUGAUGCAGCAACGCCGCGUGAGUGAUGAAGGCCUUCGGGUUGUAAAGCUCUGUCUUUUGGGACGAUAAUGACGGUACCAAAGGAGGAAGCCACGGCUAACUACGUGCCAGCAGCCGCGGUAAUACGUAGGUGGCAAGCGUUGUCCGGAUUUACUGGGCGUAAAGGAUGCGUAGGCGGAUUUUUAAGUGAGAUGUGAAAUACCCGGGCUUAACUUGGGUGCUGCAUUUCAAACUGGGAAUCUAGAGUGCGGGAGAGGAGAAUGGAAUUCCUAGUGUAGCGGUGAAAGUGCGUAGAGAUUAGGAAGAACACCAGUGGCGAAGGCGAUUCUCUGGACCGUAACUGACGCUGAGGCAUG